Molecule: RNA transcript, 7313 nt
Organism: Odocoileus virginianus texanus
Lineage: Eukaryota; Metazoa; Chordata; Mammalia; Artiodactyla; Cervidae
Gene: NABP1
Gene name: nucleic acid binding protein 1
Source: RefSeq, a predicted model, not a curated record
UCCUGCCUGCGCGCGGGCGCGUUCCGCAGUCGGUGUUUGGGACGCUGGGUGCACAGUGACUCGGUGUCUGCUCCGGGUUCGCUGUCACAGCCCAGCCCUUCCUGGAGUCCUGGACGGACAGGGCACGCGCCCUAUGUGUCAGCGGGACUCAGGACAGAGGCGUCCUCUCGCUGCCUUUUUUUCUUCCUUUUAUCCAAAGAAGGGGGCAGUUCUCACGCUUGCCUUCCUGUCGCCCCGUUGGGAGCGGGGUUGGUGUGCGGAGUGGUUCGUCUUUUUUUCUUUUAAACUUGUGAGCGUUUUUUUUUUUUUUUUCUUUCCCUUUUUUAGGCUCAGUGCCGUCUGGACUGGUUUCCUCGGUCCCUGACUAACCUCUUUCUGCCCCUUCUCUCGCCACCCCCGCCCAAGGUCGCCCCUCCGCCCUCGCCCCUGGCCCGGGGUGGGUGGGAAGCUUUGUCCGGCUCCCUCCCCACCCGAGUCUCCGCAGCGUAGCCGCACCUGCCUCAAUAUGAACGGGGUCAGGGACCCCCUUCUUUUUAUAAAAGAUAUUAAGCCCGGACUGAAAAACUUAAAUGUCGUCUUUAUUGUCCUGGAGAUAGGACGCGUGACCAAAACCAAAGACGGCCAUGAAGUGAGAUCAUGCAAAGUAGCAGAUAAAACUGGCAGCAUCACUAUUUCCGUGUGGGAUGAAAUCGGAGGUCUUAUACAGCCAGGGGAUAUUAUUCGGUUGACCAGAGGGUAUGCAUCCAUGUGGAAAGGAUGUCUGACACUUUAUACUGGAAGGGGUGGAGAACUGCAGAAAAUUGGGGAAUUUUGUAUGGUUUAUUCAGAAUUGCCAAAUUUCAGUGAACCUAACCCAGAUUAUCGAGGACAACAGAACAAAGGGGCACACAAUGAACAGAAGAAUAAUUCCAUGAAUAAUAGUAACAAUGUGGGUACAGGUACAUUUGGACCAGUGGGAAAUGGGGUUCAGACUGGCCCAGAAGCGAGGGGAUGCCAAUUUUCAUAUGCUGGUAGAAGCAAUGGCCGGGGACCUAUAAAUCCACAGCUACCAGGAACAGCUAAUAAUCAAACAGUCAUGACCACAAUAAAAGAACUAUUAAGCUGCUCGAGUCUCCUAUUGAAGAAUGGGAACACUCUGAAGAAUAGGGGCAUUUAUUUUUAGAGCAGAAAGAUCUUUGGAUAUCCUCUAAAAAACCUGCACCCAUUUCAUGGGGUCCUGGGUACUUGCAGAAAAUCAGCCUGGAGUGAAAAUCCUAGGGAAGCCUCCAAAACCAAAGCAAAGUGACUUACAAUUCAUAAUGAAUAUUUGCCUUCUCAGCCUGCUUGGACAGUACUCAUCAAGAAGUUAAGAGGAAGAAAGUUUCCUACCUUUCCUCCUUCUGACGCUUUCAGCUAACAACUUCAUAAGUUUAAACACCUACUGAAAACAAAGGCCAUUUGGUAUAGAAAUACACACUACUGGGUUUGGGUCCCACUCUAUUUUUAUAAGUCAGUUCUGAAGUGGAUUGAGGUGAAUUAAAGUCUCAUUAGGCAGGUGGCCCCUUCUCUCUGGGCAGGUUCUUUGCGGGGGGUUACUACAGUACAGACUUGGAAACAUGAAGCCCAUGAAACAAGGUAGUGAUAUGUAUUAGUGAAGCCUGCAGUAUGCUUUCCCAUGGACAUUUACGCAACUCAUUUUUGCUUGGUUCCUGUAGUUUUAGUAAUUGCAUUUUAAAUUUGAGGACAGUUUAACUUGAGGCUCACCUAAAUAAUUGUAUCACUGAGAGGAGUAUUUGUCACUUGUAGUUUUAUCUUUCAACAUUUUCAGAGAAUGUUUAAUUUGCUGGGUUGAGUACUAACUCCGAGGCAAUGAUACUAAAAACAAACAGAUGCAAGUUUAGUAAAAUCAAUGAUCUAUAAAGAACUUGUAAAGUAAUCAGAAGGUGGUUAACCGGCCCUAGAAAGUUUUCUCAGAAGGUACAAAUUUGAGAGUAUUUUACAUCAGUCUUAAGACACAAUAGAAGUUCUUAGUUUAUGUGGAUCUGACAUUCCAAUUUAGUUACUGACAUGCCUUCCUUUCUUAUACCUUAAUAAUACCAUUAUAAUGUACAAUAAUAGAUUGCUCCAAUUGUAGGCUGCUGUGACUUAAAGAGACUUUAAUGUAUUCACAAAUGUUCUAUAAACAACAAACUAGAAAACCACCUGAAAAACAGUUUUAACAUAAGACUUUUUCACACCAAACUGGUUUUCCCUCUAGACUUGUUUUUGGGGUAGCUUCUGCUAUGAUGCUUUUUUUUUUUUUAAUCUACUUUUCCUUCUGUUAAUUCGUUUUAUCCCCUAUCCAAUGAAAGUGAACAUUUCUAGUAGAAGAGAAUCACAGUUGUUCUCUGGUACAGGAUUAAUGAUAAGUUAAAGCAGAUAUGCUUGGUCAUAGUGACAAUCUGUGUAUUGAGGUUCCAGCCAAUUAUUAAAUAGAUGUUAGGGUAAACAGCCCCACAUUUCACAAAGUAGCCAUGAUACUAACAGUUGAGGUAUGCUUUUGAGGAAACCUAAUUGUCACCUUGGGAAAACAGCACUAUCCUGAAUGGUAUGUUGUUAGGACCUGAGGAGGAGAAACUACAAAAACUUUCCAGGUGUGUUCAAGUUUUUUUCCAAAUCUCUUCAGGUUUACUUUAUUAGGGAUGCACCAGAAUUUGUUCCAAUGCUGUGUGACCAGAGUACUCCAGGUUUCUGAGCUAAAAGUGUAUAGUGAUGUUUCUUAAAACACUGAUCACAGAUGAGAGAAUCAAGUCCAGACCAUCUGACAAGCCAUUUAUGUAAUAUGUUUCCUCAUUAAGAACAUUAGGUCCAAAGAUGUUCCUAAGAGCUGUUUACCACUGAGAUCAUCAGUAUGAUGAAGAGAAAAUGAGCAUUUUAACAAGUUUUGACUAGUAGACAUUCCAUUUGUCUUUUUCAAGGCCUUGAUAAGUAACACAUGUCUUUAAAAAUAAGAUCUUUAACCCUUUUUAACCAAAAUUUGAGUACAUUUUUGUUUCAUGCUAACAAUAUUUAUACUUCUGGACAUAAAGAGUCCAGUUUCUUUGUCCACAUAUUGAUACUGCAUAAAACUCAAAGAAUGGUUUAUAAACCUAUAUGAGAUUUUCCCCAGGAACUUGUUAGGUGUAUGGAUUAUUUCUCUGCUCCACCAGAAGAAUGUGUAAGUGUAGGUUGGAGAGAGCUGCACUUGAAACAAAGUCCCUGAAGAUUUUUGUCUCCUGCCCUUGAUAUUAACACAGAAAUAACUUUAUCUUGAAAUAUAUGUACACAUGCACAUACCAGUUUAUUUUUGUGAGGUUAGAAUGUAUCAAGGUUCUAGAUUAUAAAAAAUAGUACUUAGACAUAUACACCUCCAAAAGUCAGAAUUGAUGGGUAAAACAGUAAUUCCAAGCAGGGUAGAGUUUGAGUACAGCUUCUGUUAGCACGCUUGAGUUUUGAAUUAGGUUCAAAUAGAGUAUCUUAGGGUUGGGUUAUCCAUAGUGGAAUUGCAUGGCUUCCUCUGGACCUAUAUUGAUCAAAGUGAAAAUAUCCCUUUUCAAAUGUUAGUUUUCUGUUAAAAAGAAUUAAAAUAGAUAUUUCAGCAAGGCUGUUUGCAGCAGCAUCUGCCUUCCUCCUGUCUCCCAAAGCAUUCCUCAAUUCCUUUUAUUGUGUAGAGAGGCUGGCCAAAUUGAAAAGUAGUGGAAUUGGAGGCCUGAUAAACUUUGCUGAGAAUACCUCCAGAACCUACCCUCAUUGACCUCAAUCCUGUUCUUCAGAGGGGCAGGUAUCAUAAAUAGUUUACAUAAAUGAGUAAUAAACAAGGCAUAGUUUGACUGCCUGGUGGGGCUAGUCUUGAUUCAAAUAUAACCCUAACAGGAAGCUGAGUAAGACCUUUGACCUAAGACUAAGAUAGAAAACCAAUAAAAACAGGGUAGUCAGCAUAAUUAGUGCCAUCUACUGGAUGGUUACUAAAUCGUUUCAGUAAUUUAGGAAUCUGGCUUAAAGUGGGAGAAAGUUGCUAUUAUUCCAUCAGAUGGGAAUUUUUUUGAUGUUUAGGCAUGUGUGGAAGAUCAAUAAGGAGAUGUUGAGCUAUAUGUUUAUAAUUGAUGAACAAGCAACACGGACAUCAAAAGUAGAUUCCUUUCAGUUAAACAGCUUUAUUAAGUAAAUCCUGUAUAGCUCCCUGAAGGGUCAGAAAAUAUGGGAAUUUUUGCCAGGUUUUGUACUCUUGUUAUAUAUUUCAAUAAUACUGGUGGGAAGUGUAAAUUGUUAAAAAUACCUCUGGGUGGGCGGUGGUCUGGUGAAAACAGUUGGAAGUAGAACACGAAACUGCUCUUAUAAAUUUUAUUCCUUUACUAAUGGUAUUUUGUCAAAUCCUGGCCAAGUGACUGCUGUUCUUGGGAGUUAUGUUGGCUUUGCAGAACAUAAUCUAUUUUAAUUGCCAGAGACAAUGUGCUUUGGUGAAAAGAACAUAGUUUUGAGCUGAGGAGAUCUUGGUUUGAGACCUAGAUCUAUUUUCUGGCUCUAUGGUCAUGAGCUUUGUUAUAAAAAGAGGAAUUGGAGGCUGUCUGUAUACUGGCAGAGAGAUGAGAACUAUGUGAGCCAAUGUAUGCAAAACAUCUGUUCCAUAUCUAGAGCUCAACAAGUGUUAUGUUUUUUCCCCAUGAGCAAUGGAAAUAAGAGGCAAAUACUGGUCAUUUCUCCAUGCCAUUAUUAGGAGACAACCUUUUCUAUAAUAUCUGGAAUAUUAAGCAGUUUGUAAAAUUGCAAUUAGGUUCCUUUUUUAAACAAGCUUUUAGAGUUCUGGAUGCAGAAAAGUACUAAGCUGAGAAUUUACUAUGACAGUUGCUGGAUUGAGUCUUCAUCACAAAAUCUGUCCAAUAGCAGAGUACCUUGCACUGUUUUUUUGCAUUUAUCCUUUCCCAGGGUGUGAAGGCGUGACUAUGAAAGUGCAGGGGAAGAAGAAUGUGUGGGCCAGGGUUUGUGUCAGGGAGAAAGUCAGUGACCAAGGGGAAAACAGGGUAUUGGAAGGGAUUCUGUAUUUCCUGUGACAACCUCAGUGUUGCUAUAUACCCAGAGUUUGCCGAUUUGCUUCUGAUAAAGCAUUACGUAACUUUCCCCAACAUUCUAUUAUGAAAAAUUUCAAAUGUGUUGAAAGAACUGUAGACACGUGUACUCGCCAGUGAGAUAUUACCAUUAUUAUCUGACUCUGCUUGUUUUUAUUCCAUCCAUCUAUUCAUCCUAUUCUAUUCAUUAGUGUUUUUUAUACAUUUCAACUAAACCACAGACAUCAAUGAACAAUAUUUCACUAUUUUGGCAUAUGUGUUCAUUAAUGGAGUUCAAGGUGGGUUUUUAGUGUAAAAUUUACAAGGAAAUGCACAAAUCUCAGGUGUACAUUUGUGAGCUUUAAUGAAUGCCUAUGCCACCUGUGUAACUCCAACCCCUGUGGAGAUAUGGAACAUUGUCAUCAUUCCAGAAUGUUCUCUCAUGUAGCUUCCCAAAUGAAUUCCUUAUCCCCACAGACCCAGUGGCAGUCACUUUUCUGAUAUUUUAAAAACCACUCAGCUUAAAGCUAACAGUUUCCCAUGUACCAAGGGCAGCUCUAAAUUGCCUCACUGAGUUACAUAAUUCCAGUUUCAACCAUGCCACAGUACAACCAAGCCCAGCACCCUCACACACCUCACAAAUGUAAUUCCAUGACCUUGGUAUUUUUAAGAGUCUCCUUGUUUCAGUUUAGCUCCAGCUCUGCCCCUACUAACAUCUAUUUUUUCCCCCUCAACAUUUACAUCUGACACCCUAGCCUCUUGGGGCAGAAACUGCUGGAAUGAAGACCAGCUGAACAGUGCAGUCCUACGAAUGUGACUGAAAGGAGUUGGUUACCUGGCACACACCGCUGCUCAGAGCAGCUCUGUCAGGGAUUGGAGGGGGAGCCUCUGGCAGGAUGUGAUAUGAAGUCCUCUGGGAUGGAGUGUCAGGAGUAGAGGGACACGGGAACUUCAGUGUUCGCAGGUCUGAUGCUCAGCUGUUUAGCAGAUCUUGAGUCUAAAACAUUUCUUAAGGCAUGAGCUGACCAGAAGUGUCUUCUGCUUACGGUUUUGCGUUUUCUUCCCAUCAGUUGGCUUCAAAGCUGGCAUCUUCAGAGUGUGUGAAAGUUCCUUGCCAAGCAGAGGCCCGCCACUCUCAGACUAUAGGGAAGCAUCCCAAAGUGAAACACACUGAAGAAAACACUUGUGUGUGUUCUUUCCCAAUGUAUGUACACAUGUAUACACACAUAAUCACUGUGAAAGUUUUUUUCUGCAUUAAGCCCACAUUUCUCAGUCUUAGGUACUUGCCUUUUUCUAUUACUUGGUCUCUCCACUUCUUUAAUGGGUACCCAUAAUUUAUUGCACCCUUAUUAUGGGCCAGCACUGUACUUAUAUGUACACAUGUAUACACACAUAAUCACUGUCAAAGUUUUUUCUGCAUUAAGCCCACAUUUCUCAGUCUUAGGUACUUGCCUUUUUCUAUUACUUGGUCUCUCCACUUUUUUAAUGGGUACCCAUAAUUUAUUGCACCCUUACUAUGGGCCAGCACUGUACUUAUGAGUUCCCUACAUUAUCUCAUCGAUCUAUUAAAUGACCCUGUGAAGAAGGUUUUCUUAUCCUCACAGCUUAAAGAUAAAAAUGACUAAGAUUUAGGAGGGUUGAGCAGUUUGCCUGAGAUCAUACAAUCAGGAAUUUAUACUUUCAACUACCCCAGUAUUAUGAAAACUGGGAGGCCCCUGCUGACUCACUGGGCAGUGUGGACAGGAGUUGGGGUGUAAGUUAGUUUUAAAAGGGAGUGUAAAUGCAGCUAUAGAUAGAGGCAGAGAUGGAGAACAAGAAUGCAGAAUUUGACUAAGUCAUAUUUUCACUUGGAAUUAGUCAUACUUUAAAUGUCAACUGAAUACACACCCAAUUAGUUAAAGAAAUUUAAUCUACAACAAAGGUGGUAUCUUGAUGAGGAAAUGCAUAAUUAAAUCCCCUCUCUACACACAAAUAUAGAACAACAUGGGUGAAUCCCUUAUUUGGAGAUGGAGAAAAGUUAUUCCAACAAUGGCUCAAAAUCCAGAAACAUGGUUUAAAAAAACAAAACCAUGAAGACAAAUUGGGAAAAAUAUUUGUAAUUUAUAUCACUGAUAAAGGUCUAAAAGUCCUAAUAUAUAAAAAGCUUGUAAAAGUAGAGAUGACCAAUUACUAUGAAAGAAAUGGACAAGAAAUAUAGGCCGUUCACAGAAAAUUCAAAUGGUUCCUAAGCAUAUGAGAAGAAUGCUCAAUCUCAUUUAUAUUGGGAGAUGUAAA